CUUUUGUCUGAAUCUUUUUCUGAGCCCAGCGUAAGAAUUAGCAACAUAAUAUCAUGUCAUUUGUUGUUAGGCCACACAAUGGAGCAGAUUUGUAAAAUAGUCAGUGUGUGUGUAUUGAAAACAUGUAGUACGUGAUUAUUGAUGAUGGUGAUAUGGAUAAAGGCAUAGAUGUUAAAAGACUGGGGAAAAAAUGAUGUGACACUAUUGUUACUAUCCCCUUUAAUCUUUCCGGCAUUUUAUUGUUAAAUAGUAUAAAUAGGCAAUGGAGGAGUUUCAUUCAGUUGUAAAUGGAAGCAAUUGCUGGUGAGUCGUAAACUUUU
This 320-nucleotide long non-coding RNA is filed under the name Bos taurus (domestic cattle). RNAcentral's name for it is "long non-coding RNA NONBTAT019193". Lineage: Eukaryota; Metazoa; Chordata; Mammalia; Artiodactyla; Bovidae. The record is from RNAcentral.